This 2896-nucleotide ribosomal RNA is filed under the name Triticum aestivum (bread wheat). RNAcentral describes it as "partial small subunit ribosomal RNA". Lineage: Eukaryota; Viridiplantae; Streptophyta; Magnoliopsida; Poales; Poaceae. The record is from RNAcentral.
AUGACGGCAAUGAGCUCCCAUGCAGGGCUCUCCUUUGACGAUUUUUGCCUCAAACCACUGAUCUCUGAAUCGUACCUGCUUGAGUCGUCGCCGGCCACCGCCAAUCCCGAGCAAGUCGUCGUCGCCACCGCGGUGGAUAAGGCCUGGUGGCACAACGCCUUGCGCCGCCGCGCCCGUCCGCCGGCUCCCAAAUCCAGUGCUCGCCCUCUAAUCCAGACGAGCCCCGAACCCCUGCCCCCCUACUGUUACCCAGUUGCAGGAAUGACUGUCUUGAAACAACAGCCCACUAAUCCCACGAUCCACCCCUGUCAUCCGUCCCCCCGGCUCGAAGAAAAAAAAAACCCACGAGAGCACCACGCUCUCCCGUCGGUUGCUCAUAUCCUCCUCCCGCAUGACCUCUCGCCCCCUCCUCCUCCUCCUCCCGCCUCCUGCCUCUCCCUCCUCCGCUCCCUCCCGCUCCGCCUCCGCCUUGCCAUUCCCCGCCCCCGCCUCCCCACCCUCCUCUCCCUCGCCCUCCCCGGCAAAAACGGCAACGACGGCGGCGGUGGCAACAACAGCGGCGGCGGCGGGGAUGACGAAACAGGGGACGGCGGCGGCGAGUGGGGCGGCCACCGGGGGGAUGCGCUGUUCGUGCUGCCGCAGGCGGGGAGGAAGCUCUCCAGCCUGCCGGCGGACCUCGCCGUGGCCGUGGAGGGCGGCCGCGUCACGGGCGACAUCGUGCGGCGCUUCGCGGAGAUGGAGCGCUCGCCGCUGCUCCGUUGGCUGCUGGGCUUCAGAUGGUUCAGGGAGCGCCUCCUCGCCGACGACCUCUUCCUCGCCAAGCUCGCCAUGGAGAUGGGCGUCGGCAUGAUCGCCAAGGUCCGUGGGAUCGACAUGGAUGAAUCAUGAAUGCUUUCAAUCAUAAGGUCCUCCCGGCGCCUCACACUUGCCGCCGUGCCAUCUCUCCAUCCAGAGUGCCCCGACGCUCCCUCCCACCAUUCCUUCCCCCGCGGCAGUGUCACCAUGGACCACGGAGCAAAGUCUCGACCGCGGCGGCGCUGUCGGGUUGAGGAGGGAGGAUCAAGAAGGGGGGUGGAGCUGUGGCGACGGCCACACGGAAGGAGCCGGGAGCAUGCCAGAGCGGCACUCAGUUUGCUCAGGUGCCGCUGUGCAGUCGUAAGAAAACCAGGGGUCCGUCUUGUUGGAUUCGAUCCAGAAUUUCUUUUGUCAAUCUACGAGCAGGUAUAUUUGGAAUUGGAGGAAACAUAUCCUGAUUACUCUCUGGUUUUAUCUACUUUGGCUCGUUUACUUGCUUCAACUCAUGGCGUUCUCAUCCAUGGAGCCUGCGGCCGGGUGGGGAGCUCCUCGCAAGUUGUGGCGACGGCUGAAAUAAAUUGCGCUCGUUCAUGUGGUCGACAGUGAGGAAAAAGCACAUGUUUUUUUGGUUGAGGUUGCUCUGCACUUGUUCGUAGCAAUACCAAACAACGGUAGAAACUUCAUUUGUUUGUCAGGCUUGUUUGUGGUUUUUCUGAACUUCUUUGUCAGGCUUGUUUGUGGUCUUUCUGCUGAACUUCAUUUGUAGAUAUUGCACAAAAGCAUGAUGACGACUACGAGCCCGCCCCGUCACCGCCGCGCCUCUGCUGCUUCCGCAGUGCACCGCUAUUCUUACACCUGCAGCCUUCACGGCCUGCCUCUACCGCUCCCGCCAGCACCCCGUCGCGGCUGUCGUCGCCGGAGAGACACCCACCGCCGGCACAGGCGCAUGAGCCAUCGCCGCCGGAGAUAAGUCAGAGACCCGGAGCCCCCAUCCUGGUAUUGGACCUUCCAAUUCAAGGCACCUUCCACCUAAUACUGGAGUAAGUGGUUCCACAGAUUCAGGAAAAGCAGGGCUGAAUGGAAUCCAACGGAACUAAUGUUGCAGCUAUAGCAUCCGAUAUUUAGCGAUACAUGUUUAAUUCGGUGAUAACAGUUGCAUUACUGGAAGGUGGGUCAGGGCGCAGUGUUGAAUCAUCUUGAUUGGCCCGAGAGAAAUGAGGACCCUGCGACAGGCAACCUUUUGCUUACUAACCUCGCAAAUAUUUGAAGCGUAAGUCUCUAACUACGAAAAUGAUCUCAAAACCUUUCAUGUGACAUUGCACCUAUGAUAUGGAGAGUAUGACAAAUUAUACAAAAAGAAAAUCUAAUUUAUGGUAAGAGAAUUACAUGUAGUACUUAAUAUUUAUUGCCCGUAUGAAGCAAAGUGUCUACAACCUUUAUAACUACAACAGUUUAACUUUGAUACUCGGCAAUAGGUAUGCCGAGCUUUGCGGUUUGCCACUUCCUGAAGUAAGUAGAAAUAGGAGUUCCAGUUUCUUGAUUUUCAGGAAACUGAGGAGGAGCGUUUGAGUAAAGAGGAGAGGAAUGGUUGGGAAGCAAAUAAGAGGAAAAGGAGAGGAAAAGCAGGAGGAUGAACUGCUAAAAUAUAGCUAUGAUCAUGAGUAUAUUAUAAAUAUCAUUUUAGUUUGUUGUCUUUUUUAUUGAUUUUUCUUUGUGAUAAUAAUUGAGAAAUAAAGAAGAAUUAUGGCAUGUCAAAUAUUACCAUACUACCAGAUAUUUUUUAUUAUAUUUAGUCAUUUCCAUUUUGGGUAGACAUGUGUUAUGUUUCUUAACAUUUUUUCUUCUUGAUCUCGACUUACUUUGGACAUGCAAAGUGAGGACUUGGAUGUCUGUACACUCUAAUUUGGCUCUGAAGUUUCAAUUUGGAUAUUUGUCUCUUCUAGGUGACUUGUAAUGCAAAUUCUCUAUAAAUACAUUCAUGGAGCUAGGUGAAAACUAAGGGGACUUAUAGCAUGGCUACGGAAAAAGCUAAUAAGUGAUCACUAGGCAGUAGCACCAUAUGUUACAUAUAACUGGGUCAAGCUUUCAUCUUAUUUGGUGC